Molecule: ribosomal RNA, 877 nt
Filed under: Companilactobacillus crustorum
Lineage: Bacteria; Bacillati; Bacillota; Bacilli; Lactobacillales; Lactobacillaceae
Description: bacterial SSU rRNA
Rfam family: Bacterial small subunit ribosomal RNA
Source: RNAcentral
AAUAUUGUAAAUUGAGUUCCGAAGAGGGAAAGUGGAACUCCAUUGUAGCGGUGGAAUGCGUUAGAUAUUUGGAAGAACACCAGUGGCGAAGGCGGCUUUCUGGUCUGUAACUGACGCUGAGAUUUGAAAGCAUGGGUAGCAAACAGGAUUAGAUACCCCUGGUAGUCCAUGCCGUACACGAUGAGUGCUAAGUGUUGGAGGGUUUCCGCCCUUCAGUGCUGCAGCUAACGCAUUAAGCACUCCGCCUGGGGAGUACGAUUGCAAGAUUGAAACUCAAAGGAAUUGACGGGGGCCCGCACAAGCGGUGGAGCAUGUGGUUUAAUUUGAAGCAACGCGAAGAACCUUACCAGGUCUUGACAUACCAUGAAAAGCUAAGAGAUUAGUCUUUCCCUUCGGGGACAUGGAUACAGGUGGUGCAUGGUUGUCGUCAGCUCGUGUCGUGAGAUGUUGGGUUAAGUCCCGCAACGAGCGCAACCCUUAUUAUCAGUUGCCAGCAUUCAGUUGGGCACUCUGGUGAGACUGCCGGUGACAAACCGGAGGAAGGUGGGGACGACGUCAAAUCAUCAUGCCCCUUAUGACCUGGGCUACACACGUGCUACAAUGGUCGGUACAACGUGCUGCGAACUCGCGAGGGUAAGCAAAUCACUUAAAACCGAUCUCAGUUCGGAUUGUAGGCUGCAACUCGCCUACAUGAAGCUGGAAUCGCUAGUAAUCGCGGAUCAGCAUGCCGCGGUGAAUACGUUCCCGGGCCUUGUACACACCGCCCGUCACACCAUGAGAGUUUGUAACACCCAAAGUCGGUGGGGUAACCCUUCGGGGAACUAGCCGCCUAAGGUGGGACAAAUGAUUAGGGUGAAGUCGUAACAAGAGCCAGGCC